RNAcentral lists this transfer RNA (74 nucleotides) under Podarcis lilfordi (Lilford's wall lizard). RNAcentral describes it as "tRNA.Ala". It matches the Rfam family "tRNA". From Rfam's summary of the family: Transfer RNA (tRNA) molecules are approximately 80 nucleotides in length. Their secondary structure includes four short double-helical elements and three loops (D, anti-codon, and T loops). Further hydrogen bonds mediate the characteristic L-shaped molecular structure. tRNAs have two regions of fundamental functional importance: the anti-codon, which is responsible for specific mRNA codon recognition, and the 3' end, to which the tRNAs corresponding amino acid is attached (by aminoacyl-tRNA synthetases). tRNAs cope with the degeneracy of the genetic code in two manners: having more than one tRNA (with a specific anti-codon) for a particular amino acid; and 'wobble' base-pairing, i.e. permitting non-standard base-pairing at the 3rd anti-codon position. Lineage: Eukaryota; Metazoa; Chordata; Lepidosauria; Squamata; Lacertidae. The record is from RNAcentral.
GAAGGGUUGCAUCUCAGUGGUAGGGCAUCUCCUUUGCAAGCAGAAGGUUCCAGGUUCAAUCCCUGGCAUCUUCA